AAAUGAUAACUUUCGGAUGAAACGGCAUUCCGACGAGAUAUCUAGCAGAUCAAAGUCCAGGAAUCUUUCUGCCAACCAAAAGUAUUGUUUAAGGGUGAUUUCUCCUCACUUCAUCUAAAUAAUGGCACCUAAAAAAGAGCUUUCUGUUCAGUGCGAUAUCGGAUAACUUGCACCGGUGAUUCAGAUCAAGCGGUAUAAUUUGAGCCAACCCUCCAUUGCCGCUCUAGAUUCGCCACUGGCCGGACGGAAGUAUCAUUAAUCCAUGGCCUAUGACAAUCGUAGCGCGCCAAGCGGUCGUCGGCAGACGCAGUCGUGGAUGGCAGAGAGGAAGGGGAGAGAGCAGGGCUAUCGAUCCACAGGCACCGCAAUUGCAAGUGCUAAUGAUGAAGUUGGACAGCCGGCCAGCCCAAGUUGUCGAUGUUGCCUCCGCAGUGCAGUUGUUCUGAGUGCCACGCCCACAUGAAGAUCCCAAGGUCUGUUAUGCAUAUUCACUGGAUGGGAAGGGCUGUCAAUUUUGCCAGAUUAAUUAGCUAGGGGAUGUAACAAUAGUUCAAUCGAAGACAGUCUAAAUUACGUGUAUGCAAAGCUAAUUGAUUAGGAACUAAGCAUGGCCUUAUUGAACAUAUUUCAAUUUUUUAGCUGGCUAGCUUAUUCGUUAAAAAGCUGGUUAUAAGUUAUGUAGUUGGUCACCAGUUACCUUUUCGUCAUGUCUGGUUGGUGUUGUUUCUCAUUAAAAUGAAACAACCGGGCAUGAUGUAGCAAGAUG
This is a long non-coding RNA of Lolium perenne, 766 nucleotides long. RefSeq lists it as uncharacterized. NCBI's taxonomy places the organism in Eukaryota, Viridiplantae, Streptophyta, Magnoliopsida, Poales, Poaceae. The record is from RefSeq and is a predicted model, not a curated record.